CAAAUUGAGAGUUUGAUCCUGGCUCAGGAUGAACGCUGGCGGCGUGCCUAAUACAUGCAAGUCGAACGCUUUGUGGUUCAACUGAUUUGAAGAGCUUGCUCAGAUAUGACGAUGGACAUUGCAAAGAGUGGCGAACGGGUGAGUAACACGUGGGAAACCUACCUCUUAGCAGGGGAUAACAUUUGGAAACAGAUGCUAAUACCGUAUAACAAUGACAACCGCAUGGUUGUUAUUUAAAAGAUGGUUCUGCUAUCACUAAGAGAUGGUCCCACGGUGCAUUAGCUAGUUGGUAAGGUAAUGGCUUACCAAGGCGAUGAUGCAUAGCCGAGUUGAGAGACUGAUCGGCCACAAUGGGACUGAGACACGGCCCAUACUCCUACGGGAGGCAGCAGUAGGGAAUCUUCCACAAUGGGCGAAAGCCUGAUGGAGCAACGCCGCGUGUGUGAUGAAGGGUUUCGGCUCGUAAAACACUGUUGUAAGAGAAGAAUGACAUUGAGAGUAACUGUUCAAUGUGUGACGGUAUCUUACCAGAAAGGAACGGCUAAAUACGUGCCAGCAGCCGCGGUAAUACGUAUGUUCCAAGCGUUAUCCGGAUUUAUUGGGCGUAAAGCGAGCGCAGACGGUUAUUUAAGUCUGAAGUGAAAGCCCUCAGCUCAACUGAGGAAUUGCUUUGGAAACUGGAUGACUUGAGUGCAGUAGAGGAAAGUGGAACUCCAUGUGUAGCGGUGAAAUGCGUAGAUAUAUGGAAGAACACCAGUGGCGAAGGCGGCUUUCUGGACUGUAACUGACGUUGAGGCUCGAAAGUGUGGGUAGCAAACAGGAUUAGAUACCCUGGUAGUCCACACCGUAAACGAUGAGUGCUAGGUGUUUGAGGGUUUCCGCCCUUAAGUGCCGCAGCUAACGCAUUAAGCACUCCGCCUGGGGAGUACGACCGCAAGGUUGAAACUCAAAGGAAUUGACGGGGACCCGCACAAGCGGUGGAGCAUGUGGUUUAAUUCGAAGCAACGCGAAGAACCUUACCAGGUCUUGACAUCCCUUGACAACUCCAGAGAUGGAGCGUUCCCUUCGGGGACAAGGUGACAGGUGGUGCAUGGUUGUCGUCAGCUCGUGUCGUGAGAUGUUGGGUUAAGUCCCGCAACGAGCGCAACCCUUAUUACUAAUUGCCAGCAUUCAGUUGGGCACUCUAGUGAGACUGCCGGUGACAAACCGGAGGAAGGUGGGGAUGACGUCAAAUCAUCAUGCCCCUUAUGACCUGGGCUACACACGUGCUACAAUGGCGUAUACAACGAGUUGCCAACCCGCGAGGGUGAGCUAAUCUCUUAAAGUACGUCUCAGUUCGGAUUGUAGGCUGCAACUCGCCUACAUGAAGUCGGAAUCGCUAGUAAUCGCGGAUCAGCACGCCGCGGUGAAUACGUUCCCGGGUCUUGUACACACCGCCCGUCACACCAUGAGAGUUUGUAACACCCAAAGCCGGUGGGGUAACCUUCGGGAGCCAGCCGUCUAAGGUGGGACAGAUGAUUAGGGUGAAGUCGUAACAAGGUAGCCGUAGGAGAACCUGCGGCUGGAUCACCUCCUUU
This 1577-nucleotide ribosomal RNA is filed under the name Weissella confusa. RNAcentral describes it as "bacterial SSU rRNA". It matches the Rfam family "Bacterial small subunit ribosomal RNA". Lineage: Bacteria; Bacillati; Bacillota; Bacilli; Lactobacillales; Lactobacillaceae. The record is from RNAcentral.